UCUGGUUGAUCCUGCCAGUAAAUAUAUGCUCUUUUCUAUGAUUAAGCCAUGCAUGUUUAUGUUCAUACAGUGAUAACAGUGAGACUGCGGAAGGCUCAGUAAAUCAGUUAUAAUCUAUUUGAUUGUACCACCCAUUGGAUAACCGUGGGAAAUCUAGAGCUAAUACAUGCACAUUAUUUGGAGGCGUUGCAAGACGACUUCAAGGCAUUUAUUGGACCAAUACCAACUGUGAGUGUGGGGGUCAAACCCCUUAUUCACAAGGUGAAUCUAGAUAACUUUGCUGAUCGCAUGGCCUUGAGCCAGUGACAUUUCAAUUGAAUUUCUGCCCUAUCAACUUGUUGGUAAGGUAGUGGCUUACCAAGGUUGCAACGGGUAACGGGGAAUCAGGGUUCGAUUCCGGAGAGGGAGCCUGAGAAAUGGCUACCACAUCCAAGGAAGGCAGCAGGCGCGAAAAUUACCCAAUCCAGACACUGGGAGGUGGUGACGAGAAAUACUAGUGAGUAUCCCAAAAGGAUACUCAUCUGGAAUGGACGCAAUUUAAGAAAUUCGUUGAGUAACAACUGGAGGGCAAGUCUGGUGCCAGCAGCCGCGGUAAUUCCAGCUCCAGUAGUGUAUUUUAACGUUGCUGCGUUUAAAACGCUCGUAGUUGGAUCACGCAGUGCGAGUCAGUCGGUUUACCCAGCUUCACAUUAUAACUGUUGCGCUGUUUUUCUUCUAUGGUUUCCAUAGUUGGAAGGGCAGUGUGGCGGUGUGUUGCGUGUAAAUUAUCAGCUGACCCGCACUACUUGUACGUGAGGAUGGCGGUUGACCUUUAGUGCGUUGACUGUUCGUGUCUCACGGAGUGUGCCUUGAAUAAAUCAGAGUGCUCAAAGCAGGCGUAUGCAUGAAUGUUAAUAGCAUGGAACGAACAAUUGUGUCAAAUGUGGACUAUGAUUGGUUGUAGGUGGAUUUGUUCUGCCUAUUAAUUGAUUGUGGUUUACAACACCAACCCACAAUAACGGAUGUUGGUUUCCGUGUUGGGGUGAUGAUUAAAAGGAGCGAUUGGGGGCAUUGGUAUUUGGCCGCGAGAGGUGAAAUUCUUGGACCGGUCAAGGACUAACAAAUGCGAAGGCAUUUGCCAAGAUCGUUUCCAUUAAUCAAGAACGACAGUCCGAGGUUCGAAGACGAUCAGAUACCGUCUUAGUUCGGACCGUAAACUAUGCCGACCCGGGAUCAGUUUAGAGCUUAUUACGCUCGAGGUUGGUCCCCCUGGGAAACCUAAAGUUUUUUGGUUACGGGGGGAGUAUGGUUGCAAGGCUGAAACUUAAAGGAAUUGACGGAAGGGCACCACCAGGGGUGGAGCCUGCGGCUUAAUUUGACUCAACACGGGAAAACUCACCUGGUCCGGACAUCGAAAGGAUAGACAGACUGAUAGAUCUUUCUUGAUACGGUGGUUGGUGGUGCAUGGCCGUUCUUAGUUCGUGGAGUGAUCUGUCAGGUUGAUUCCGGUAACGGACGAGAUCAGCGUCUCCAUUUAAGUGCUGCAAGAUACUGUAGUGUGGUAGAAAUACUGUGCUACGGUUUUGGUGGUGAGAGCGUACCAGUGUUCUGACUCUUAUUCUGAGAGUGGGCAACCACUUGAGGGGUAGGGGAAAAGAAUGUUGUGGAAAGUCUCACUCCCUUGCAAUAAACGGAUGGUCGUAAGAUCAUCUGUCUUAUGGAGAGACAACGGGCAUAUACAAAGCUCGAGGAAGAUUGGCGAUAACAGGUCUGUGAUGCCCUUAGAUGUCCAGGGCUGCACGCGCGCUACAAUGAUAACGACAGCGAGAGUCUGGGUUGUCAAACUUGGGUAAUCUUGUGAAUCGUUAUCGUGAUGGGGAUUGAUCGUUGUAAUUAUCGGUCAUGAAAGAGGAAUCCCUUGUAUGUGCACUUCAUUACAGUGUAUAGAACGCGUCCCUGCCCUUUGUACACACCGCCCGUCGCUACUACCGAGUGAAUGGUGUCAUGAUGCCUUGGGACUGGACGUUGCUUGACUCUUUACGGAGUUGUAGUGAUGCUGGGAUCAAUGUAAAAUGGCGCAAUUUCGAGGAAGUAAAAGUCGUAACAAGGUUUCCGUAGGUGAACCUGCGGAAG
Molecule: ribosomal RNA, 2112 nt
Filed under: Typhlichthys subterraneus (southern cavefish)
Lineage: Eukaryota; Metazoa; Chordata; Actinopteri; Percopsiformes; Amblyopsidae
Description: SSU rRNA
Rfam family: Eukaryotic small subunit ribosomal RNA
Source: RNAcentral